This 492-nucleotide ribosomal RNA is filed under the name uncultured bacterium. RNAcentral's name for it is "partial 16S ribosomal RNA". It matches the Rfam family "Bacterial small subunit ribosomal RNA", at positions 29 to 507 of the family's 1533-position model. The record is from RNAcentral.
AGUGAACGCUGGCGGUAGGCCUAACACAUGCAAGUCGAACGGCAGCACAGUAAGAGCUUGCUCUUACUGGUGGCGAGUGGCGGACGGGUGAGGAAUACAUCGGAAUCUACUUUUUCUUGGGGGAUAACGUAGGGAAACUUACGCUAAUACCUCAUACUACCUACGGGUGAAAGCAGGGGAUCUUCGGACCUUGCGCGAUUGAAUUAGCCGAUGUCGGAUUAGCUAGUUGGCUGGGUAAAGGCCCACCAAGGCGACGAUCCGUAGCUGGUCUGAGAGGAUGAUCAGCCACACUGGAACUGAGACACGGUCCAGACUCCUACGGGAGGCAGCAGUGGGGAAUAUUGGACAAUGGGCGCAAGCCUGAUCCAGCCAUACCGCGUGAGUGAAGAAGGCCUUCGGGUUGUAAAGCCCUUUUGUUGGGAAAGAAAAGAAGCAGGUUAAUACCCCGCUGUUCUGACGGUACCCAAAGAAUAAGCACCGGCUAACUUCGUG